CGACUUCAUCCAUCUUCAUUCAAAUUUCCAAUCUUUCUCUCAAAUCAAUUACAAGUGCAACAUCAAAUUCCAAUUCCAAAUUCAAGACAUCCAUUUCAAGUUUUCAAGAAUUCAAGAUUUACAACAAGGCAUCAUUGUUAUUUAAAAAUGAAUUUGAAUAUAUUUUACAAAUCUCCAAGUCUUAAAAUUCAAAUCACAAAUGAAAACUGCAAUGUUACAAAAAAAGUCGCAAUAAUACAAAAAUUCCUAAAGAAUGUAAUUUUCUUCAUCUUCAAGUCUUCACCAAGCACUUCAGGCCGCUCUUCAUCAAUUUUCUCCAUCGUCCAAUUUGCUCGUACAUGUAAACAAAAAGAGAGAAUUAGUUAG
This is a non-coding RNA of Vicia faba (fava bean), 366 nucleotides long. Lineage: Eukaryota; Viridiplantae; Streptophyta; Magnoliopsida; Fabales; Fabaceae. The record is from the annotation of a GenBank genome assembly.